GACGAACGCUGGCGGCGUGCCUAAUACAUGCAAGUAGAACGCUGAAGAGAGGAGCUUGCUCUUCUUGGAUGAGUUGCGAACGGGUGAGUAACGCGUAGGUAACCUGCCUGGUAGCGGGGGAUAACUAUUGGAAACGAUAGCUAAUACCGCAUAAAAUUGAUUAUUGCAUGAUAAUUAAUUGAAAGAUGCAACUGCAUCACUACCAGAUGGACCUGCGUUGUAUUAGCUAGUUGGUGAGGUAACGGCUCACCAAGGCGACGAUACAUAGCCGACCUGAGAGGGUGAGCGGCCACACUGGGACUAGAGCACGGCCCAGACUCCUAGAGGAGGCAGCCGUAGGGGAUCUUCAGCGAAGGGGGGAAUCCUGACCAAGCCACGCCGCGUGAGAGAAGGAGGUUGUCGGAUCGUAAGGCUCUGUUGUAAGAGAAGAACGGGUGUGGGAGUGGAAAGUGCACACUGUGACGGUAUCUUAUCAGAAAGGGACGGCUAACUACGUG
RNAcentral lists this ribosomal RNA (497 nucleotides) under uncultured bacterium. RNAcentral describes it as "partial 16S ribosomal RNA". It matches the Rfam family "Bacterial small subunit ribosomal RNA", at positions 28 to 507 of the family's 1533-position model. The record is from RNAcentral.